CAGCUGAAGGAAAUACUGCUCUUCAUCAUUACAUUCCAUGCCAUGCAUUUGGACCUGGUCCAGUUGUCUGAGUACAAGAACUGAAGGCGGAGAGUCAGGAGGAAGGAGGCCAACAGGCAGGCCACAGAUGACAGUGAAGGCAAAAGAACAGGGUGCAAUGGAGUUGGCCUUCUACUACCACAAAGCGAUCCUAUGCUCACAUGUCCAAACAGCCCCCAGAUGUGACUCCAUUGAUCAGAAGUCAUCCUUAGCUGCAUGAAGAAGAAAACAACAACAACAACAACAACAACAGCAGAAGAGUCCUUGCUUGAAAUCAAUCCAUGUACAUCCUGAGCAUAGGGUCUUCCUUUUUUCAGCUCUUCCCUCAAGGACCUAGGGUUUCAGUAAGUAAAUGUGCCUUUGUCCACAUUUAAAGCA
This is a long non-coding RNA of Mastomys coucha (southern multimammate mouse), 417 nucleotides long. RefSeq lists it as uncharacterized. The record is from RefSeq and is a predicted model, not a curated record. Lineage: Eukaryota; Metazoa; Chordata; Mammalia; Rodentia; Muridae. The transcript has 2 exons.